Molecule: ribosomal RNA, 597 nt
Filed under: uncultured archaeon
Lineage: Archaea
Description: bacterial SSU rRNA
Rfam family: Archaeal small subunit ribosomal RNA
Source: RNAcentral
ACGGGGUGCAGCAGGCGCGAAAACUCCGCAAUGUUCGAAAGAACGACGGGGGAACUCCAAGUGCACUUGCGCAAGCAAGUGGUUUUUAGUAGUGUAAAUAGCUGUUAGAAUAAGAGCUGGGUAAGACCGGUGCCAGCCGCCGCGGUAACACCGGCAGCUCGAGUGGUGACCGCUUUUAUUGGGCCUAAAGCGUUCGUAGCCGGUUCAGUAAGUCUUUGGGCAAAUCUUCUCGCUUAACGAAAAGAAUUCCGAAGAUACUGCUGGACUUGGGGCCGAGAGAGGUUAGAGGUACUCCUGGGGUAGGGGUGAAAUCCUAUAAUCCUGGGGGGACCGCCAGUGGCGAAGGCGUCUAACCAGAGCGGACCCGACGGUGAGGGACGAAAGCCAGGGGCGCGAACGGGAUUAGAUACCCCGGUAGUCCUGGCCGUAAACGCUGCAUGCUAGGUGUUGCAUGCUCUACGGGGGCAUGCAGUGCCGAAGAGAAGUUGAUAAGCGUGCCGCCUGGGAAGUAUUAUCGCAAGGUAGAAACUUAAAGGAAUUGGCGGGGGAGCACCACAAGGGGUGGAGUCUGCGGUUCAAUUGGAUUCAACGCCGGAA